CCUACGGGAGGCAGCAGUGAGGAAUAUUGGUCAAUGGCCGUAAGGCUGAACCAGCCAAGCCGCGUGAAGGAUGACGGUGCCAAGCAUUGUAAACUUCUUUUGUGCAGGGAUAAAAUCAGGCACGAGAGAUUGUCUGAGGGUACCUGAAGAAAAAGCAUCGGCUAACUCCGUGCCAGCAGCCGCGGUAAUACGGAGGAUGCGAGCGUUAUCCGGAUUUAUUGGGUUUAAAGGGAGCGUAGGCGGACUGUUAAGUCGGCGGUAAAAGCCCGGGGCUCAACCCCGGCGAGCCGUGGCAACGGGCUGUCUUGAGUGGUCGAAAGGUAUGCGGAAUGCGUAGUGGAGCGGUGAAAUGCUUAGAUAUUGCGCAGAACUCCGAUUGCGAAGGCAGCAUACCGGCG
This 398-nucleotide ribosomal RNA is filed under the name uncultured bacterium. RNAcentral's name for it is "partial 16S ribosomal RNA". It matches the Rfam family "Bacterial small subunit ribosomal RNA", at positions 338 to 734 of the family's 1533-position model. The record is from RNAcentral.